AUUUAUACAUCAACUGGUAGGUGAUUUCAUCCAGACAUGAACUACGUAGCUGUAUCAAUUAAUUUAUAAUCAACAGGUAUGUGGAAUAUAAGUAUUCUAUGUGUAAUCUGUAUUAAUACUGACUCUACCAUUGCUCAGACAUUAAGAAAAAUAUCAAUAACAUCUAACGUCUAUAUCUUCUCCUCUUUCUUUUUAUCUCUUUACUUUUUUCCUUUAAAAUAAAGAAACAAAUGUAAAAUUGUUCCAAAAAAAAUUACAUCAAAUGCUACUUCAAGUUUGAGAUUUUGUAGGUACUAAUAGUCGGAUCAAAGAAGAAGAACUUAAAGAAUUAAACUAAUCAGUUCGACUCACUUGCAAGCCAGGGCUCAAAGCUUUCCUCAUAUUUGGUGUCCUCUAACUCUCUAAGGCUCGGAUUGAGAUUGGUGGGUUUUUGAUGUGUUUGUCAAUGAACGGUAUGAUGCAAGAAAUCAGCCAAGGCUAGUAUAGAAUCUAUCGAUGGUUGUUUGAAACACAUAGAGGAUUAAAUAUAACUUAAUUAUCACGCAGUUCACUUCCGAGAUUAUGAAGAUAAUAUCUUGUCCCUUUUUGUCAAAUAUCUUGGUUGAUAAGACCUCUUGUCAGGGCUGUACACUGAUGAGUUUGUACAGGAGAAGUAGAGAUCGUAUCAAAGUUCCGUUAGGUCUUUUUUAAGCAAGAGAAGUUUUUUCCCUUUCAUUUAUUUGCAUUUGUUUUUUUUAAAGCAAAAUUCAAAAAAAUAAUCCUAUAGAAAAGCUACAUAUGCCGAAAAAACAUUUUAAGUACGUAGACACAUUUUUAAAAGGUGGAUAAAUAAUUCUGUGUAAAAAUGUAUCUUCCAAUACAGAAUAUAAUAUCAUUAAAAUGUUUUUUUUAGAGAAUAUAUCAUUACAAUGUUGACACUUGACACAUACAUACUAUUACUUUUUGACCUUUUAAAUUGGUGUCCUUUUCAAUAAUAAUAAAAAAAGCUUAGGAACUAAAUGUAAUUAGAUAAAAGAUUGAAAACUACAAAUAUAACCAAAUAUUAAUUCGUGCUUUCCGUUUUUCAUUAGGCGAUGAUUUCGUGUCUCCUACAAUCUCGAAGCCUUAUGUUUGCAACAUCUGCACCUUCAUAUCCCACGUCGCAACAUUCCACUUUUCUCCCCUAUAAACAGAACAACGAAAACAUCCUAAUAAUAUUAAAACACCGCUUAUAGUGAAAAAUUAUUGUGAUUAACAGCAAAAUUAUGAACAAACCGGUUUGGGAGUUUUGGGAGAGAAGACACGGAUAGAAGCAAGAGGAUCCGCAGAAGUAUUACCAAAGAAGGAGCAAGAAGUCAUGUUUCUAGGAAACUUCCUUGUGUA
This 1362-nucleotide long non-coding RNA is filed under the name Brassica napus (rape). RNAcentral's name for it is "long non-coding RNA (BNAP_LNC008950)". Lineage: Eukaryota; Viridiplantae; Streptophyta; Magnoliopsida; Brassicales; Brassicaceae. The record is from RNAcentral.